RNAcentral lists this long non-coding RNA (433 nucleotides) under Fragaria vesca (wild strawberry). Its description in RNAcentral is "long non-coding RNA (FVES_LNC002502)". The record is from RNAcentral. Lineage: Eukaryota; Viridiplantae; Streptophyta; Magnoliopsida; Rosales; Rosaceae.
AAGGGAGACACUGGACGCCAGGUGGUUCCAGUAGUUGGGAUGGCAGGACUGGGGAAAACUACCUUGGUGAAGCAAGUGUACGAGGAUCCAAAAGUUCAGAAACGUUUCAAGGUACAUGCUUGGAUCACUGUUUCUCGAUCAGUCAAGAUAAAUCAGCUCCUAAGACGCAUGAUCAAUAAAAUCUUCAGAGUUAUCACAAAACCAGAUCCUGAAGAUGAAGAAGUUGAAACCAUGGAUGACAACCAGCUAAGAGAGAGAAUCAAAAAAUUGCUGCAGAAUAGUAGGUACCUGAUUGUUCUUGAUGAUAUAUGGCAUAUACAGGACUGGGUAGCCAUCAAUCAUGUAAUGCCGAACAACGAUCGUGGUAGUCGAGUAAUGCUCACUACUCGCAAUGUUAAUGUAGCCUCUGCAUCUUGCUUGGGGAACCCUGCUG